This is a long non-coding RNA of Drosophila navojoa, 205 nucleotides long. The record is from RefSeq and is a predicted model, not a curated record. NCBI's taxonomy places the organism in Eukaryota, Metazoa, Arthropoda, Insecta, Diptera, Drosophilidae.
CAGCCAGCGCCAGUUGCAGUCGUUUGUGAGCGUUCGCAGCGCUAGGUACUCAGCAAGUUUCCUGGUGCAUUCGAAGCAUAACUGUGACUGAGCAGCACAAGUUGCAGUUACAGUUGCAGCCAACAGUGGUCAUACAGUGGACACAAAGUGUUAACGAAACACACAAAGAAACUGAAAACGAAAACAACAACAACAACAAAUAUAU